Long non-coding RNA from Trematomus bernacchii (emerald rockcod), 393 nucleotides. RefSeq lists it as uncharacterized. The transcript is spliced from 3 exons. NCBI's taxonomy places the organism in Eukaryota, Metazoa, Chordata, Actinopteri, Perciformes, Nototheniidae. The record is from RefSeq and is a predicted model, not a curated record.
AUCAGGACAACAACAAGGUUCAGGCUCUCGUGUUGAUCUGUCUGUUGUUACCAUGACUGAACAUCAGGACAAUGAUGAGGUGACGUUACACUGCUCUGUGGUGCCAUAUGGAGACUGUAGACUCACAGUGAAGUGGCUGCUUCAAGAUCAAGAUGUGGAUAAAGAUCACAGAGAUAUAAAGACAUCACAGUCUUCCUGCUCUGCCUCUGUGACAUUUCUGACUUCUCUUUUUAGUUACACAACAAGGUUUGAGUUGUUUACUUGAGAAGUAAGAGAUGGUGCCAACGUGCAGACCUUCAGUCCUCAGACCUCAGGUGAGGACAAAAAUCCAGCAACAACAACACCAACAACACCAACAACACAAACAGAACAAGAGGACAACAAUAAAGGUAG